Molecule: long non-coding RNA, 972 nt
Organism: Colossoma macropomum (tambaqui)
Lineage: Eukaryota; Metazoa; Chordata; Actinopteri; Characiformes; Serrasalmidae
Exons: 3
Source: RefSeq, a predicted model, not a curated record
UUACAAAGUGGAAAAAGUUAAGUAAACAAAUUGUCUAAAAUUAUUAUGUAUGAUCUGAAUAUCUGUACACAGUUCUCACUGUAUGGAAAUGAAUGCAGUUUCUUCCUCUUUUUUACAUGUGGACCGAAUGGAUUAAAAUGUCUUCACUGGUUAAUGGCUGCACUGGGACAUCAGGUGAGAUAAACAGUGUCUUAAUGGAGUUUGUCCUUCUUUUCCAUUUGAGUAAAUGGUGGUAAAUGCUUUUAUGAUUAGGUUACUUGUUUUUUCUCUCUCACUUCUGUUCACAUGUUUGAGCUGAAAUCUUCUACCUUGGUGUGACAGACUGUGCGGUACUUUAAAACUUGUGAAGACUGCAAUGAAAAAGGGAUUCCUCUCACCCUGUUUGGAUGAUGGUGGUCUUUCUCUACCUAAAUAUGUCUGUGUGAUGGAGGACCAGAGCUGCAGUUAACAGUGAGACCUGUGAAAGGACCCUUUGACAACCUUCCAUAUAAACUGGUAAUCAUUAUCAGCAUUAUUAGCUAAAGCUAACCUCACUACAUUAGUUUUAGUGUCUAGUGACUGAGAGAGAGUAAUGUGUGGUGUGACAUGUUGUUGGUUUUGGGUUUUCUUUGUUAUUUAUUUGUAGAUUAUAUACAUUAUAUACAUUAGACUAAUUCUCUCAUUAGUGACAACUUAUCUUCCAGUUAUAAAUCCCAUAGUCCAAAUAUCUGUAUACCUAAAUGAUACUAAUCCCAUCUUUAAUGGCUGUACUGGGAUAUAAGGUGAAAAAAAGAUGGUCUUAGACUUUGUAACUAAUGUAAAUAUCAAUGUAACUAAUUGCGAUGGGAGAUUAAAUUAAUUCAACAUUUUAUUGCCAUAUUUUGGAUGAAAAAAAACAAUAUUGUGUCUUUAUAAUCGACCUCCAAGCCUACUAAUGUUUUAAAAAAUUUUAAGCAUUUAAUGUAAGAGGCAAACUCAAAAAUGCAAUUCCUA